CAGCCGCCGCGGGAAUACAGAGGGUGCAAGCGUUAAUCGGAAUUACUGGGCGUAAAGCGCGCGUAGGUGGUUCGCCAAGUUGGAUGUGAAAUCCCCGGGCUCAACCUGGGAACUGCAUCCAAAACUGGCGAGCUAGAGUAUGGUAGAGGGUGGUGGAAUUUCCUGUGUAGCGGUGAAAUGCGUAGAUAUAGGAAGGAACAUCAGUGGCGAAGGCGACCACCUGGACAGAUACUGACACUGAGGUGCGAAAGCGUGGGGAGCAAACAGGAUUAGAGACCCGGGUAGUCCCUGUCUCUUAUAC
RNAcentral lists this ribosomal RNA (301 nucleotides) under uncultured bacterium. Its description in RNAcentral is "partial 16S ribosomal RNA". It matches the Rfam family "Bacterial small subunit ribosomal RNA", at positions 509 to 807 of the family's 1533-position model. The record is from RNAcentral.